CAGUCGCCGCGGUAAUACAGAGGGUGCGAGCGUUAAUCGGAUUUACUGGGCGUUAAGAGUGCGUAGGCGGCUUCUUAAGUCGGAUGUGAAAUCCCUGAGCUUAACUUAGGAAUUGCAUUCGAUACUGGGAAGCUAGAGUAUGGGAGAGGAUGGUAGAAUUCCAGGUGUAGCGGUGAAAUGCGUAGAGAUCUGGAGGAAUACCGAUGGCGAAGGCAGCCAUCUGGCCUAAUACUGACGCUGAGGUACGAAAGCAUGGGGAGCAAACAGGAUUAGAUACCCGCGUAGUCCCUGUCUCUUAUAC
This 301-nucleotide ribosomal RNA is filed under the name uncultured bacterium. RNAcentral describes it as "partial 16S ribosomal RNA". It matches the Rfam family "Bacterial small subunit ribosomal RNA", at positions 509 to 807 of the family's 1533-position model. The record is from RNAcentral.